AUUUUAUUCAAUUUUGAUCUUAUGAUGAUGUUGUCGAUGAAAAAAAAUCGAUUCCUGAUGGUAACGGAUAAGUUUUUCCCUUUUUGUUUUUUGCAGUUAUGCUUCUUGCAUAUCCGACUUGAUGCUUUGGAGAGAGACUGACAGAUUCAUAUAAUACUUUUGGAUUGUGUUUGUUGAUGAUUGAUUUUGAAAUUCUUGUAUUUUUUAUUGGAUGUGGUUUCUUAUUCUUUCAAGUGUUAAUUUCAGCAAUAAGAAUAUUUACCUCGUGGAGAAUGCAGAAGAAAGGAAAUCCAAUAUGAGUAUAUAUACCUCAUUCAAUACCGCCAAUUUUUCCUCAUAUGUUUAAACAAUAUGAUGACAUUUAUACUAGGUCGUGCUAAUGUCAGCAAUGAGUAUUUACCUCAUUGAUUUAUAUUUCAUGACUCUGGCAUUUGGGACAAGUUUUCUUCCCCUCAUUUUCAAGACACGAGGAAGUCGUUCUGCAUGUUUUGAGAAAUUAUCUUGUUCAUUUUGUGGCAUUGAAAUUAUCUUGUUCAUUUUGUGGUAUUGGAUUUGCAUUUUCUUCUCUUAGGCCUCCGAUUUUAAGAAGAAUAUAUAUUUAUAACUUAUUGCAUGAUUUGCUGCCGGCUUUGUUCAUUUUUGUUUGUAACAUAAUUUCCUUUUUUGAUGAUAAUUUGUCAGAGUUUGUGAUAUGGUUAUGGCUGCCGGGGGCACAUCAUCUUAUGGCAUUGAAAAACAGGUUUUUGGUUUAUCAUCUUUAUUUGACAUGAGUUAGGCUUUUUAUGGUUUGUGUCUGCAAAUCACAUUCUUGGUACUGGUCCAACCAGGUUUGGAACUGGUCCAAAGCUUCCACAAUUCUCGAUGAAUUUCAGCACCAAGUAAUCUAUGCUUCAAUAUAUUCUUGUGAAUAUCGCUUGUGGUUUUCUAAUAUGGAAUUCUCGAUAGAGUGCAUGAAAUACUAUGUUCCUGAUAGGUCCACAAGACUGUUGAAUUCGUCAUGGUUUUUCUUGUGAUUUGAGCAACAGAGCCCUAUUCUUAUGUUUAUUUUUUCCUUCAAAAUCCACUGCGUAGGAGCUGCAGAAGCAAGGGAACUCUAGUUUUUCUUAUCAUCAUGUCACAUUUGCUUGGGCUUUUUAACGUUUAAGAGCGGUUGCUUUAAUCACCUGGAUUGCACGAUCGCAGAAAAGCAAGGCGAGGGUUAUUUAUCUACUAUUUCACAUUUUGGUCUAUUCAUAUUCAUGCUUCAACAGUAAAUCUGUUUAGUAUACGAUCUAUCUCAUGGAGUUUGGAGUUCUGCUACAACUCCUUACUGCAGUUGGUUCCAGCAAAGUUUUUUUGGUCCUGAUCAAUAUGGUGCCCCUUCUACAGGAUUAAAACUAUGAAACACACUACAGUUGGCUGGCCUGCAAAUCUGCAACACUGAAUUUUGCUUUAUGGUUGACUGCCUUGCUUUAUCUACUCUAUUUCACAUUUCGGUCUAUUCAUAUUCACACUUCAACAGUAAAUCUGUUUAGUAUACGAUCUAUCCCAUGGAGUUUGGAGUUGUGCUACAACUCCUUACUGCAGUUGGUUCCACCAAAGUUUUUUGGUCCUGAUCAAUAUGGUGCCCCUUCUACAGGAUGAAAACUAUGAAACACUACAGUUGGUUGACUGCCUUGGAAACCACAGGAUUGAAACUAUGAUUCAAACUACGGUUGGCUGGCUUGCAAUUUGUAACACUGACUUUUGCUUUAUAGUUGACUGGCUUGGAAACCAUGAGGCCAAAUAAAUUCCUCCCAGUGCCUGCAGAAACCAGAAAACUGUUAUUUUCCCUUCUCUUCAUUCCACUUUUGCCGAGAAGUCUGUUCAUAUAUAGUUUUCUUUAACCGGAUCCUUUUCCUUAUUUGAUUUGUUUAGGGUUGGUGCUUUACAACUUUUUACUGUGUUGGGUUCGAGCAAAGUUUGUUCGUCUAGAUCAAUUCUGUUUCUUCAUCUAGAAAGUUUUUUCAAUUCUGUUUCUUCGUCUAGAAAGUUUUUUACUUUCUCCGCUGCGGGUUGCUUCUACUGGGGUACAAAUAAAUCUAUCCAUUACUUUCUUCGUGGCUGCAUGAUAAUCCUUGAAUUAAUUUAAAGUCUCUUGGUAUUUAAAAAAAGUGGCGAUUCUGUUGUGAAUUAUUAAUCAAUUCCAGAACCAGUUAAAGUCGGAUGCUUUAACAUGUUUUCUGUCUAAAUUCCAUUGAAGUGUAGGUUUGGAUUUCCUUUCGAAGUUACAUCUUUCAUGGAGUCCCCAUUCUUGAUCUUGGGUGAUAAUGUUUAACUGGUAAUUUCAGAGUUUUGUGACUUGGUUAUAGCUGCUGAGGGAAAAUCGUCUUAUGGCAUUCAUCCUUGGUUUAUAUAGAGGGAAAACCAGAAACCAGGUUUUUGGUUUAUUUGUCUUCGAUUGAUGAGUUAGGCUUAGUAAGAUUUGUGCCUGCAAAUCAUAACCUCAAAUAUUUGCUUAAAUCAGUCUUGGUUAGUGAAAUUGAAGGGAAAAUCGUCUUAUGGCAUUCAGAAACCAGGUUUUUGGUUUAUUCAUCUUUAUCUUGGUUAGGGAAGUCAAUGAGUUCUGAUUUCUUUCGUGUCCAAUCAAGUUUGGUACUGGUCCGAAGCUUUCACAGUUCGGACACAUUUCAGCACCACGUAACCUAUGGGUAUAUAUAUAUAUAUAUAUCCUUCUGAUUAUCGCUUGUGUUCUUCUGAUAUGGAAGUCUCGAUCAAGUGCACUCGAAAUACCAAGGAAUCUGAUGAGCAAGGUGUUUGAAACUAUGUUCCUGAUAGGUCCAUGAGAUGAAUUCGUCAUGGUUUGAGCAACAGAGUUUAGUCUUAUGUUUCUUUUUCCUUCAAAAUGUGUAGGAGCUGCAGAAGCAUGGGGAACUCUUAUUUGUUCCUAUCUUCAUAUCACAUUUGCUUGGGCAUUUUAACAUUUGAGAUCAGAGGGCCUUGUUUAUGGUCUGGAUUGCACGAUCCCAUAGAAGCAAGGCACCGGUUAUUUUUUCUGCUCUCACUUUUCGCAUAUAAGUCUACUCAUAUUUUCCCCCUCAACCACAAACCUGUUUAGUAUAUGAUCUAUCUCAGGGAAUUUGGAGUUGUGCUACAACCUCUACUGCAGUUGGUUCCAGCUAUGAUUUCUUGUCCUGAUCAAUAUGGUGCCUUCUACAGGAUUAAAACUACUCUGUUUGGUUGGCUGGCUUCCAACUUGUAAUGAUCUAUCUCAUGGAAUUUAGGUUCGACUCGCUUGGAAACCAUAAGCGCAAAUAAGUUCCUCUUAAGUCCCUGCAGAAACAAGAAUACUGUUAUUUUUCCUUCUCUUUAUUUCACUUUUGCUGAGAUGUCACAAUGAUGUUCCUUAUUUGAUUUAUUUACAGUUGGUGCUGCUUCACAACUUUUUCCCUUCGAGCAAUGUUUGUUUGGGUAGAUCAAUUUGGUUUUCUUGUACAGGAAUACAAAUAUAUAUAUCUGUCUUCUACUUUGUCCACGGCUUUUUCUUCUACAGGGGUAUUAAGAUAUCAUCUAUCCAUUACGUUCUCCACGGCUGGCAUGUUAAUCCUCAGUUUACUUAUAAGUCACGGUGUAUUUAUUUGAAAAGUCGCAUAUUGAUGUUGUGCAUUUUUAAUCAAUUUCCGAACUAGUUAGAGUUGGAUGCGUUAACGGGUUCUCUCUAAAUGCAGUGAAAGUGUAUGUUUGGAUUUACUCUUCCGCAUUUUCCAGUAAGAGUUAAGUUUUCAAAGUUAAAUCUUUCAUGGAAGCCCCGCAUGCUUGAUCUUGGGUAAUAAUGUUUGACUGUUACGUGUGAUUAUAAGCUCACUGUAUCUCGUGUUUUGAAAUCCUAAUAUUUUAAAGAGAUCCUAAAUAAAUAAAGGAGCAACUUUGUACUUGUAUAUUUGCCGGUCUUGAUGGUUUGACUCGUAAUUUAACACCUUCGGUUUUAAGAGGUUUAUAUGUUAAGGGCUUAACAAGGGGUCAUGCAAUUCCAUGAAAUGGGUUUGAACUAAGGCUUUGUGAUUUAUCUUUUUUGUUCUCUUCUGCUACUCAAUUUCCUACAGUCUAUCGAUUAGUUUUGCUUUUCAUGUGUCUAUCUACAGUGUGUAUUGUCAGGUUGCAUUUGCGUGGUUUAAAUAAAUAAUUCCAAGGGGGUCAGGAACUAAGCCUACGUAUUUUGUUCAUUAUGUUCUCUUCUGCUUCCCAAUUUCCCACAUGCUUUUCAUUUGCUUUUCUACAUUGUGUCUAUUGUCAGGCUGCAUUUGUGUGGUUUAAAUAAAUAAUUCCAAGGGAUCAGGCAAUGCCAUGAAAUGGGUUUGAGCUAAGAUUUUGUUCUUUAUGUUCUCUUCUGCUUCUCAAUUUCCCACAUGCUUUUCAUUUGUUUAUCUACAUUGUAUAUUGUCAGGCUGCAUCUGCGUGGCCUAAAUAAAUAAUUCCAGGGGGUCAGGAAAUGCCAGGAAAUGGGUUUUAGCUAAGGUGUUCUUUAUGUUCUCUUCCUGCUUCUCAAUUUCCCUCAAGCUUGUCAUUUGUUUAUCUACAUUAUAUAUUGUCAGGCUGCAUCUGCGUGGCCUAAAUAAAUAAUUCCAGGGGGUCAGGAAAUGCCAAGGAAUGGGUUUUAGCUAAGGUGUUCUUUAUGUUCUCUUCCUGCUUCUCAAUUUCCCUCAAGCUUUUCAUUUGUUUAUCUACAUUGUGUGUAUUGUCAGGUUGCAUCUGUGUGGCCUAAAUAAAUAAUCAUCUGUGUGGCCUAAAUAAAUAAUUUCAAGGGGUCAUGCAAUGCCAUGAAAUGGGCUUGAGCUAAGGCGUUCUUUAUCUAUUGUCAGGCUGCAUUUUCGUGGUUUAAAUAAAUAAUUCCAAGGGGUCAGGCAAUGCAAUGAAAUGGGUUUGAGCUAAGGCUACAUGAUUUUGUUCUUUAUGUUCUCUUCUGCUUCUCAAUUUCCCACAUGCUUUUCAUUUGCUUAUCUACAUUGUGUGUAUUGUCAGGCGCAUCUGCACGGCCUAAAUAAGAAUUUGAAGGGGUCAUCCAAUGCAAUGAAAUGAAAUGGGUUUGAGCUGUUUGAGCUAGGACUAUGUGAUUUUGUUCUUUACGUGUUCGCUUCUGCUUCUCAAUUUUCCACAUGCUUUACAAAUGCUUUACAAUUUUCCACAUGCAGUUCAUUGGCUUAUAUACGUUUAUUGUCAGGUUACAUCUGCAUGGCCUAAUAAAUAAUUUCAAGGGGUCAUGCAAUGACAUGAAAUGGGUUUGAGCUUGGGCUACGCUAUUUGUUUUUUAUGUUCUCUUAUUAUUCUCAAAUUUCCCACAUGCUUUUCAUUUUAUGUACAUUGUGUAGUGUCAGGCUGCAUCUGCAUUGCCUAGAUAAAUAAUUCCAAGGGGUCAGGCAAUUCCAUGAAAUGGGUUUGAGCCUAAGGCUACGUGAUUUUGUUCUUUAUUUGCUCUUCUGCUUAAUUUCCCACAUUAUUUUCAUUUGUUUAUCUACAUUGUGUGUAUUUGUCAGGCUGCAUCUGCGUGGCCUAAAUAAAUAAUUCCAAGGGGUCAGGCAAUGCCAUGAAAUGGGUUUGAGCUAAGGCUACAUGAUUUUGUUCUUUAUGUUCUCUUCUGCUUCUCAAUUUCCCACAUGGUUUUCAUUUGCCUAUCUACUUUGUGUGUAUUGUCAGGCUGCAUCUGCAUGGCAUAAAUAAAUAUUUCCAAGUGGUCAUGCAAUGCCAUGAAAUGGGUUUGUGCUGAGACUACGUGAUUUUAUUUUGUCUUCUCUUCUGCUUCUCAAUUUCCCACAUGCUUUUCAUUUGGUUAUCGUAUAUUGUCAGGCUGCAUUUUCUUGGUUUAAAUAAAUAAUUCCAAGGGGCCAGGCAAUGCAAUGAAAUGGGUUUGAGCUAAGACUACUUGAUGUUGUUUUUUUUUUGUACUCUUCCGAUUCUCAAUUUUCCACACGCUUUUCAUGUGUUUAUCUACAUUGUGUGUAUUGUCAGGCUGCAUCUGGGUGGCCUAAAUGAAUAAUUUCAAGGGAUCAUGCAAUGCCAUGAAAUGGGUUUGAGCUAAGGCGUUCUUUAUGUUCUCUUCUGCUUCUCAAUUUCCCACAUGGUUUUCAUUUGCCUAUCUACUUUGUGUGUAUUGCCAGGCUGCAUUUUGCGUGGUUUGAAUAAAUAAUUCAAAGGCAAUGCCAUGAACUGGGUUGGGGUUAAGGCUAUGUGAUUUUGUUUAUGUUCUCUUCUGCUUCUCGAUUUCCCCCUUGCUUUUCAUUUGUUUAUCUACAUUGUGUGUAUUGUCAGGCUGCAUCUGCGGGGCCUGAAUAAAUAACUCCAAGGGGUCAUGCAAUGCCAUGAAAUGGGUUUGAACUAAGGCUUUGUGAUUUAUCUUUUUUGUUCUCUUCUGCUACUCAAUUUCCUACAGUCUAUCGAUUAGUUUUGCUUUUCAUGUGUCUAUCUACAGUGUGUAUUGUCAGGUUGCAUUUGCGUGGUUUAAAUAAAUAAUUCCAAGGGGGUCAGGAACUAAGCCUACGUAUUUUGUUCAUUAUGUUCUCUUCUGCUUCCCAAUUUCCCACAUGCUUUUCAUUUGCUUAUCUACAUUGUGUCUAUUGUCAGGCUGCAUUUGUGUGGUUUAAAUAAAUAAUUCCAAGGGAUCAGGCAAUGCCAUGAAAUGGGUUUGAGCUAAGAUUUUGUUCUUUAUGUUCUCUUCUGCUUCUCAAUUUCCCACAUGCUUUUCAUUUGUUUAUCUACAUUGUAUAUUGUCAGGCUGCAUCUGCGUGGCCUAAAUAAAUAAUUCCAGGGGGUCAGGAAAUGCCAGGAAAUGGGUUUGAGCUAAGGCUUCGUGAUUUUGUUCUUUAUGUUCUCUUCUGCUUCUCAAUUUCCCACAUGCUUGUCAUUUGCUUAUCGAUGUUGUGUGUAUUGCCAGGCUGCAUUUGCGUAGAUUAAAUAAAUAAUUCUGGGGGGUCAGGCAGUGCCAUGAAAUGGGCUUGAGCUAAGACUACUUGAUUUUGUUUUUUUGUUUUCUCCUCUGCUUCUCAAUUUUUCACACUUUUUUCUUGUGUUUAUCUACGUUAUGUGUAUUGUCAGGCUGCAUCUGGGUUGGCCUAAAUGAAUAAUUUCAAGGGAUCAUGCAAUGCCAUGAAAUGGGUUUGAGCUAAGGCGUUCUUUAUAUUCUCUUCUGCUUCUCAAUUUCCCACAUGGUUUUCAUUUGCCUAUCUACUGUGUGUGUAUUGCCAGGCUGCAUUUUGGGUGGUUUGAAUAAAUAAUUCAGGCAAUGCCAUGAAAUGGGUUUGAGCUAAGGCUUUGUGAUUUUGUUUAUGUUCUCUUCUGCUUCCCAAUUUUUCCGCUUUCUUUUCAUUUGUUUAUCUACAUUGUGUGUAUUGUCAGGCUGCAUCUGCGUGGCCUGAAUAAAUCAUUCCAAGUCAUGCAAUGCCAUGAAAUGGGUUUGAGCUAAGGCUACGUGAUUUUGUUCUUUAUGUUCUCUUCUGCUUCUCAAUUUUCCACAUGCUUUUCAUUUGCUUAUCUAUGUUGUGUACUGUGUAUUGCCUGGCUGCAUUUGCGUAGAUUAAAUAAACACUUCUGGGGGUUCAGGCAAUGCCAUAAAAUGGGUUUGAGCUAAGACUACUUGAUUUUGUUUAUUUUUUAUUUUUUGUUCUCUUCUGCUUUUCAAUUUUCCACAUGCUUUUCAUGUGUUUAUCUACAUUGUGUGUAUUGUCAGGCUGCAUCUGGGUUGGCCUAAAUGAAUAAUUUCAAGGGAUCAUGCAAUGCCAUGAAAUGGGUUUGAGCUAAGGCGUUCUUUAUAUUCUCUUCUGCUUCUCAAUUUCCCACAUGGUUUUCAUUUGCCUAUCUACUUUGUGUGUAUUGCCAGGCUGCAUUUUGCGUGGUUUGAAUAAAUUAUUCAAAGGGGUCAGGCAAUGCCAUGAAAUGGGUUUGAGCUAAGAGGCUUUGUGAUUUUGUUUAUGUUCUCUUCUGCUUCUCAAUUUCCCCCUUGCUUUUCAUUUAUUUAUCUACAUUGUGUGUAUAGGCUGCAUCUGCGUGGCCUGAAUAAAUAAUUCCGGGGGGUCCUGCAAUGCCAUGAAAUGGGUUUGAGCUAAGGCUACGUGAUUUUGUUCUUUAUGUUCUCCUCCUCUUCUCAUUUGCUUAUCUAUGUUGUGUGUACUGUGUAUUUCCAGGCUGCAUUUGCGUAGAUUAAAUAAAUAAUUCUGGGGGGUCAGGCAAUGCCAUGAAAUGGGUUUGAGCUAAGAUUACUUGAUUUUGUUUUUUUUUUUUCUCCUCUGCUUCUCAAUUUUCCACACGCUUUUCAUGUGUUUAUCUAUGUUGUGUGUAUUAUCAGGCUGCAUCUGGGCUGGCCUAAAUGAAUAAUUUCAAGGGAUCAAUGCCAUGAAAUGGGUUUGAGCUAAGGCGAUCUUAUGUUCUCUUCUGCUUCUCAAUUUCCCACAUGGUUUUCAUUUGCCUAUCUACUUUGUGUGUAUUGCCAGGCUGCAUUUUGCGUGGUUUGAAUAAAUAAUUCAAAGGGGUCUGGCAAUGCCAUGAAAUGGGUCAGGCUGCAUUUCAGUAGCUUUGCCUUCGCUACAAUUUCCUGCAAAACUUGACUGCCCAGCCCAGCCACCCACUUCAUUAUCCUAAUAUUUGUGGUUUUACAGUUAAUUAUGAAAUCCUUAUGGAUAAUGUUUGAAAUCAUCUUGUCUGUAGAAGGGCUUGUUUUGAUAUUUGGUUUUUCAUUUUGUGGCAUUGUGUUUCCAUUUUCUUUUCUUAGGCAUCUGUUUUUAAGAGUUAUAUAAAUUGAUAACUUAUUGCAUGAUUUGCUGAGGGUUUUGGUCUUUUUUGUUUGUAUCCUAAUACCCUUUUUGGAUGGUAAUUUGUCAGAGUUUGUGACUUGGUUAUAGCUGCUGAGGGAAAGUCGUCUUAUGGCAUUGAAAAAUUAUGUUUUGGUUUAUUCAUCUUGGAUUGACAAGAGUUAGGCUUUCUAAGAUUGUGCGUGCAAAUCAUAACCUCAGGUAUUUGCUUACAUCGUUGCGUUCUGAUCUUGUACGUGUCCAAUCAAGGUUGCUACCGGUCUUAAGCUUUCACAAUUCUGGACACAUUUCAGCAUGAAGUAACCUAUGCUUCUAUAUAUCCAUAUGAUUAUCUCCUGUGGUUUUCUGAUAUGGAAUUCUCUAUCAAGUUCAUGAAAUACUAGAGGUAUAUGGCGAGCAAGGUGUUUGAAACUAUGUUCCUAUAGGUCUACAAGAUGGUUGAAUUCGUCGUGUUUCCAUGUGAUUUGAGCAACAGAGUUUAUUUCUAUGUUUCAUUUGCUGAAGCAAGUGAACUCUUAUUUAUUCUCUCUCCAUAUUGAGAUUUGCUUGGGCUUUUUAAUGUUUGAGUAAGAGGGGUUUGCUUUAAUUAUCAUAUUUUCGCACACGAGUCUUGUCAUAUUUUCCCCUCAAACGCAAGCCCUGUUUAGUAUACAAUCUAUCUAAUGGAGUUUGGAGUUGUUCUACAAGUUUGUACUGCCGUUGGUUCCAGCAAAGUUUUAUCGUCCUGAUGAAUAUGGUGUCGUCUGCGAGAUUAUACUCUACGGUUAGCUGGUUUCCAACUUAUUGAUUUGGCUUUAUUCCACUGGAGCACAAAGAUGAAUCACAGCCCUUCCCUUUUAAGUUGGCUAGCAUGGUAACAAUGAGUUUAACCAUCCUUUACUUUUAGGUUGGCUAGCAUGGUAACGGCUACUUUAAAAAUUUAAAUUCAAUUAUUUAGUAUGUGAUUCCAGAAGCACAUUCACUAAGAAGAACAUUUAUCCUGUUUCAUGUUUCUACCGGAAUCCACUUGCACAUUCAUUACUCUUAGCAUCAUAUUGCAAGAACAAACCCAUCUAUUCUUAAUCUUUAACAAUGUUUCACAAUUUGUCCUGUUUGAAACUUCCCCCGCUCCAACCUAUGUUCAUUAUAACUCGCACCGUCCCAACUUCAUGUCAAACCCGUUGUCUCCUUUUAUUUCAUCGUGAUUGGAUUCCACUUGUCUUAUUAUUAUAAAAAAUACCUUAUAUUUAUUUUAUCCAUUUAUAUAUAAUUAGCACUCGAGCUAAAUUAUUUUGGAUAUCUGAAUCAAAUAUUUUUUAUAGUUCUAAUAUUUAACACUCUUUUUUCGUUUUGAGUGGUUUUAUUAUGUUAAUAUUUAAGGGUUUGCCAUCAAUUUUACUACAUCCCCUCACACAAUGUGGCAAUCCAUAUGGGAUAUGUUAAUGGUCUCAGCAAUGUCUGCCAUACAAAACUAAUUCUCUCUUCUACUCCAGUGUCCCUAUCUAAUCUUGCUGUCAUGGCCCAUCUCAUCUAUUGUUGCCUUUCCAGCAACUCUUGACUACACCACCCACUUGCUGUCUCCUCCAAUAAACGGUUGUUCAUGAUAAGUUGUGUCAUUCCGCAUUACAACCUCAUUGUAUGUUGGAUCUUUAAUUAAGUUUUGGUUUAUUUUUGUUUGGCUGUUAUCUAAUACAUUUGCAUGCUUUUAAGUCUGGUUGCACUUCAUGUUUUUACCAGAAUCCACUUGCACAUUUUCCAUACUUGUUACUCGUUAGACCUUAAGAUGAUAAGUUGUAUCAUUCUGCAUUACAGCCUCAUUGGACGAUGGGAUUUUUCGGUGUUUGGUAGUUAUCUAAGAGAUUUGGAUAUGCUUAAGUGUGAUUGUGCUCUGAAUGGGAGGAAAGUAUAGUUUCCUUCAUGCAUUCUGUAUAGGAGUUUGGAUUUUGAAGUCAGAAUGGAUUUGAAUUGUUGGGGGAUAUAAUGGUUUGAUGAUUUGGUGGCUAUGAUAGUUAAUGCUCUCAUUAGACUACAGAAAAACUUAUUGAGGAUAGUUAAUGCUCUUAUACUGGGUUGCAAAUAUGGAGCACUGCCCUUAUUUUUCCUUUAUUUUACGGUCGACAGUUUACUGUGUUUCAGAGUCUUUUACUUUAUGGUUGGUGUUAUGAAUUUAUGAUGGUGUAGAUGGUGCUAUGAAGAUUUAUUGGUUCCUUUGGGAUUUUUGGGAGGAAGUGACGUCAUAUAUAUAGAGAAGCUAAUAUGGUGGCAUAUUUUUUGGCUAAGCAGAGAGCUCAAGGUUUGAUGUCAGAUUUUUGUGAUGCGUCUUCCAUUCAAGGGCGCAUUCAAGGAUAAUUCGAUUAGAUAACCUUGGAAUGCCCUAUAUUAGAAAGUGAUUGCGAGGGUUUAUUGUUUUUACUUGUGAUUUUGGCUCCUGAGUAUUACUAUUUGUUAGGGAAAAAAAAAGAAAGAUGAAGCUAUGAAGAUUUAUUGUAAGGGAAGAAUAUAUUGAACUCUUAUUAGGCAUUUAUUGUCGAGAUCAAUUUGGUUAUCUUUUACUUUAUGGUUGCACUUCAGGUUUAGAGUCUGCAUUUACCACUGUCUUCCUUUUUGGUUGUAUGGCUCUAUGAACUGAAUGCUGAGAUGACUAUGGGAAGAGCUUAUUAUCGUUGUGAUUUAUUGCAUGGCUUGGAAAUUCAAAAUUCAUUGUGUUUGUAGAGCUGUUCAUGCAUGUUCGCAGCUCAUUAGACCUUUUUAACAUGAUUAGUUGCCGCAAUCUACAUUUCGACCUUUUAGCAGGUUAUUCAACAUUGUGAUUUGUUGUUUUUUGGCAGUUGACUGUUAAGAUAGAGUUGCAGUACUUUAGAGGCUGCUCUCUCUCGAUUGUUGGGGAAGUAUUCUGUGUAUGGAGUUGUAUUGUUGGAUUGCAUGGGGACAUAUCUCAAGGAUCAUCUUUUUACUUGUAUAAUUUCUUUCCUUUUCUUUUCUUUUUUAAUGGUUCGGCUUGUUACGAGAGGCUUAUUUAUUUUGGAGUUUUCUGGUUCUUAUUUUUACCCAGGCUGGAUUCUUAUUUUUAUUGUUUGAAGUUCGUUUAACUACAAAUACAUCGGUUCGAGUCUUGCAAGUUUAUGAACUUUUGCGAGGAAAUAUACAAGCACCGUUGUGGGUCCCUUGUCCGAGUUUUUCUCAGGGAUCCUGUGAAAGAUGAACAAGAGUUCUAUAAAUAUAAAAGUAAUGGUAGAUAUAGUGCUUGAAACGUUGUUUUUUUUUCGUUCAUGUGGGUCUCAAACGUGCAUAAGCUCAUGCAGCUUGGUGGUCUCAAUUGGAUAGUGGCAGUACUCGACGCACUAGUCUAGUGGGUCAACCUACAUGAGCCCUACGUUAAUGGUUGCCUUCGGGUUUUUGGUCUGGUCCAUCGCACACCAUGAAACCAUUACCAUUUUGUUCUUACCUUCCAUAAUAUGAAUAUUCUCAGAACCUUCUCGGAACACUUCAUUAUCCUUCUUUCAUAACUAAUAUUACACUAAAUGCUUAGAAGGGAAGAAAAGGACACAGUUUAUAUUUGCAAACAACUACCAGCACUAA
Juglans regia (Persian walnut) is the source of this 12311-nucleotide long non-coding RNA. RefSeq lists it as uncharacterized. The record is from RefSeq and is a predicted model, not a curated record. Lineage: Eukaryota; Viridiplantae; Streptophyta; Magnoliopsida; Fagales; Juglandaceae. The transcript has 3 exons.